CGGUGUUGCUUCUUCGGGUUGGGUCCGGUAACGUCGAGUUGUGAGGAUUCGUUCGACUUUGUUCGUUUGUCUUCUUCAUGGACUCGUUCUUCUUCCUUGCGGGAUUUCAGGCAAGAUGAUCAUACCCUCGAAAUCACUACUAUCUUUGCUAUGCUAGUUUGCUCGCUCUUUUGCUAUGCCAAUGCUACGAUGCCUACCAUUUGCUUGUCAGCCUCCCAAAUUGCCAUGUCAAACCUCUAACCCACCAUGUCCUAGCAAACCGUUGAUUGGCUGUGUUACCGCUUUGCUCAGCCCCUCUUAUAGCGUUGUUAGUUGCAGGUGAAGAUUGGAUGUCGUUCCUUGUUGGAAUAUUUAUUUACUUGUUGGGAUAUCACUAUAUAUCUGAUUUAAUUAAUGCAUCUAUAUACUUGGUAAAGGGUGGAAGGCUCGGCCUUAUGCCUGGUGUUUUGUUCCACUCUUGCCGCCCUAGUUUUCGUCAUAUCGGUGUUAUGUUUCCGGAUUUUGCAUUCCUCACGCGGUUGGGCUAUAAUGGGAACCCCUUGACAGUUUGCCUUAAGUAAAGCUUUUUCAGCAAUGCCCAACAUUGGUUUUACCAUUUGCCACCUAGCCUUUUCUUUUCCCUUGGGGGUCGCGCGCCCAAGGGUCACCAUUAUUUUUAAUCCCCCGGGCCAAUGCUCCUCUGAGUGUUGGUCCGAACUGAGCUGCCUGCGGGGCCACCUCGGGGAAACUUGAGGGUUGGUUUUACUCGUAGCUAGUCUCAUCUGAGUGUGCCCUGAGAAAGAGAUAUGUGCAGCUCCUAUCGGGAUUUGUCGGCACAUUCGGGCGGUGUUGCUGGUUUAGUUUUACCCUGUCAAAAUGUCUUGUUGUACCGGGAUACCGAGUCUGAUCGGAAUGUCUCGGGUGGAGGUCUAUUCCUUCGUUGACCGUGAGAGCUUGUGAUGGGCUAAGUUGGGACACCCCUGCAGGGAUUUGAACUUUCGAAAGCCGUGCCCGCGGUUAUGGGCAGAUGGGAAUUUUUUAACGUUCGGUUGUAGAAAACCUGAACUUGACCUUAAUUAAAAUGAAUCAACCGCGUGUGUAACCGUGAUGGUCUCUUUCUGGCGGAGUCCGGGAAGUGAACACGGUGUUGGAGUUAUGCUUGACGUAGGUAGUCUAGGAUCACUUCUUGAUCAUACUUUUAUCGACCGUGCUUUGCCUUCUCUUCUCGCUCUCAUUUGCGUAUGUUUAGCCACCAUAUAUGCUAGUCGCUUGCUGCAACUCCACCUCAUAUCUUGCCUUACCUAUGAGCUUAAAUAGUCUUGAUCGCGAGGGUGCGAGAUUGCUGAGUCCCCGUGGCUCACAGAUACUUCCAAAACUAGCUUGCAGGUGCCGAUGAGUCUGUGCAGAUGACGCAACCAAGCUCAGGAGGAGCUCGAUGAAGAUCUUGUCCUUUGUGUUGUUUCGUUCUAGUUGAUCAGUAGUGGAGCCCAGUUGGGGGUGAUUGGGACCUUUGUUGCAUUUGGGGUUCUUCUUUUAUUUUGGUUCCGUAGUCGGACCUUGAUUGUAUUUGUUUGAUGUAAUGCUUUAUUCUUGCAAUUGUGUGAAGUGGCGAUUGUAAGCCAACUAUGUAUCUUUUUCCCUUAUGAAUUACAUGGGUUGUG
This 1640-nucleotide long non-coding RNA is filed under the name Triticum aestivum (bread wheat). RNAcentral's name for it is "long non-coding RNA (TAES_LNC015047)". The record is from RNAcentral. Lineage: Eukaryota; Viridiplantae; Streptophyta; Magnoliopsida; Poales; Poaceae.